Chelonia mydas (Green sea turtle) is the source of this 565-nucleotide long non-coding RNA. RefSeq lists it as uncharacterized. The record is from RefSeq and is a predicted model, not a curated record. The transcript has 3 exons. NCBI's taxonomy places the organism in Eukaryota, Metazoa, Chordata, Testudines, Cheloniidae.
UGAAAUAGCUAAAACUGUGAAAUUUAAAAGACUUUUAAAAAUCUCAUGACCAUGAAAUUUACCAAAAUGGAUGGGUGAAUUUAGUAGGGCCCUACCCAGGAGACUAAACAGGGGGUACUUCACAUUACAGAUACGCAAAUGUGGAUCCUCAGUUGCACUGUUUAUAUCACGGCCGCUUCUUUCUGGCAGAUCCAUUUGAGCUCCGCGGCACACGUCUCAGACAGAACCUGGCUGCCUUUUAUCCACCCGCAGCUGUUCCCAGCAGCAGAGCCUGAGAAGCUGCAGAGUGAGAGAGAGUCCGUGUCACUGUGGGUCCCUGUAACAAGGAAAGGCCCAGGGGUGAGUCUUUCCUCCCCCUCCCCCUAAUGGGAAGCUGGGCUCUGGUGUUGUCCUUCAUCUCUAACUUCCCUGCAGAGCGUCAGUCGAGAAGACGUCCCAGGCUGUGAGAGCCUCAGCUCUUUGGAACCUCUGCAAACGCUUUAGCCACGUGUUUAACUCCAUCCGUAGGAGUAGCCUUGGAUGGCAGUGGGAGGGCUCAGAGCCAGCGUCCUGGAACCAUCUCAUG